UGGGGAAUAUUGGACAAUGGGGGCAACCCUGAUCCAGCAAUGCCGCGUGUGUGAAGACGGCCUGCGGGUUGUAAAGCACUUUCAGGGGGGAGGAGGGUUUGUUGGUUAAGAGCUGAUGAGAUGGACGUUACCCACAGAAGAAGCACCGGCUAACUAUGGGCCAGCAGCCGCGGUAAUACAUAGGGUGCAAGCGUUGUCCGGAAGUAUUGGGCGUAACGAGCUCGUAGGGGGUUCGUCACGUCGGAGGUG
RNAcentral lists this ribosomal RNA (249 nucleotides) under uncultured organism. Its description in RNAcentral is "partial 16S ribosomal RNA". It matches the Rfam family "Bacterial small subunit ribosomal RNA", at positions 355 to 596 of the family's 1533-position model. The record is from RNAcentral.